RNAcentral lists this long non-coding RNA (4107 nucleotides) under Theobroma cacao (cacao). RNAcentral's name for it is "long non-coding RNA (TCAC_LNC002630)". The record is from RNAcentral. Lineage: Eukaryota; Viridiplantae; Streptophyta; Magnoliopsida; Malvales; Malvaceae.
CCAGCCAAAGGAAGAACAAAGGAAGAAAAGAAAGAACAAGAACCCUAGGGUGAAAAUUCAAGAGAAAAUUGAUGGAUUUCAAGUAAUCAAGCAAUCAAAGGUAAAAUUUCUUGAUUUUGACUUGUGAUCUACCUUUCCCAUGCAUUCUUUAACAUUUUUCAUGGUUGAAACACAUGAUUUCAUGAUGGGUAUCUUGCUGGCUGAACACUUAGAGAAAGGUUUUGAUGCUUGAUUUGGUUAGAUUUUAAGAUAUUUUAGUGUUUUUAGUUAGUUAGUGAUGUGUAGCAUGAAAAGCCAACAAGAAAAAUUCAUUUUCUCCUAUCACCCAUCAUUGGCCGAAUUCUCCAUGUGGAAUAUUGAUGAUGAUUUUGAUUUUAUUUCAAGUGAAUUGGUUAGGAAAUGAUGAAUUACAAUGAGAAAAUCAAGUAGGAAAAAUCAUAGUGUUGAUGCACCCACCAUAGCCGAAAUUCCCAAGAGAAAAUGUGAAAAUGAUUUUGCUAAAUUUUAUGCUAUUUGACUUGUGUUUGAUGGUUUGGAGAAUUGGAAGAAAAAUGGAGUUAAUUGGAGUUGAAUUGGACAUAUUGACCAAUUAAUCGAGUGACAGAUCGAAUUAGGCUAAUACCGUUUUAUUUAAGUAUACAAUUGAAUUUGUGUAGAACACCGUGUUUAGAUGAUAAUCCAAACAAUUUACAUCCCAUUUCAUGCAUUAGUAUAGAGCCUAAAUUGGUUUUAUAACAAUUUAGCACAAAUGUAGUAAAUGACUUAUUGUGCAUUAUGUCUAGGUGGUGAGCAUUCUGGCAAAAGUAAAGAGAUAGUACUCAAGGAUCAAGAAUCGGAGUACUUGAAAUUCGACUCCCGAAAUAGUGAGUAACCUUACUAUCGUCUUAAUUAUCUAAAGUGGUUUUAUCCAAUUUUGUGAUUUUAUGAAAAAUGAGUUUAAAUGGUUAAUUUUUAGGUUUUACAAACAAAAUGUGAUUAAAUGAAAUGAUUUUAUAAAAUUGUCUUGAAAUUGAAAGAUGGUUUUGAAAAUUGAGUAAUUGGAGACUAAUUGUUGUGUUAUAAAUCAUGGUUUGAAUUGACAUGAAUGGUUGAAUUGGUAAAUGCGCUGAAAAUGUAUGAACUGUUGAUUUGCCUUGAGAGGCUAUAAAAUAAAAUAAUUGUCAUGUCAUGCUAUACCAAAUUUUAUUGUAUGGUGGGCUUAGCUUGCUGCAGUGAGCAAGUUCUGUAGACCAGCCUAUUAGAGGGGCACGAAAUCCGGUUAUAUACGUAUCUCGGUCGGAGAGGCGCGUAGGGUAACUCCCGAGGUAAAACUUUAGAGUUCACUUCACGCCAAACCACCACGUGAAGGUGAACUCAGUCAAUGCCAAGGAACGACUAUAUUUUCAAAAUAAAAACAUGAUUUAUGCGUACAUGACUUUUUAACAGCCUUGGCGGACUCGGUUGGGAUAGCCUUCGGCGAAGGUAUCCCUGAUAACUGAGUAUGAGAAUGAUUUUGGCACGAGCCAAAGUUUUAAGAAAUUCAUAAGCCAUGUUGAUUACUCGAUUUAUAUGAAUUGAUUUUAUUUGGUUAAAAUGAGUUGAAAGAUGAUAAAUUACAGUAUGAUGAUCUAUUUUAAUCUAUCUCCAUUUACUCAGCUUUAGAUAUUUUAGAUGGUAUUUGUUUACUCACUGGGAUUAUAUAAUCUCACCACCCUCCUUUCCACCCAUUUCAGGCAUAGAAUAGGUUGUAGAUAGUGGAUUUCAUCGAGGCUACCAUUGGAUUUGCAUCCUUCAAACUGUAGGUUUAUAGUCUUCCUUACUUUUGGUUAUUCGAGGGCCCAUUGGUUAUUGUAAAUUAAAUUAAAUACUCUAGCUUACUGUAUUACCGUAUGUAUGAAUCUAUUUUGCUUUUACGCUACAAAAAAAUUAUUUACGUAUAACUCUAAAAAUAUUAUUUUAUAAGAAAAUAGAAUAUUUUAUUAAAUAUUUCUUUUAUUUUUUUAUUAUAUCUAAAUAAUCAUGAUUUCAUUUUAAAUGAAGGUUUUAGAUGUUUAAACUUAUUUUUGAUUAUGAAUUAUGUGUUUUGUACUCGCAUACUACAUUUUUAACGGAUUUUGAAAUUUUUGAGGAAAAAUGACCAAAAUGUCCCUGUGAGAAAAAAAAUAUUUUUCUAUUGUUUUGAUUUGAAAAUAGUUUAUAAUCUCUCAAAACAUGAUUUUAGUAACUAAUACUCAUAGGGGAAGUGAGAAAAAUUGAUGUUAAGCCUUGCGAGGUUGCGAUUGACAUUUCGGAUAAUGAAUGUCUAUCGGGACGUCACGGCGGUUGUCAUAGGCUCGAUGGGAGUUUCAGGUCAUGACAUCUUUGAAGUUUGAAUAUCUAUUAACACCGAAUUGGUUCUUGGUCUUUGAUUGUUUGCUUAUUAUAUUUUGGAUGGGUCUUAAAUUUUCAAAUAAUAAUUCGUUUGCAUUCUCACAAGGAUUGAAGUUAGAUUAAGCAGGGUUAAACUUGAAUUAAUGGAUCACAAUCACAAAUUUGAAGGAAUAAAGACGAUGCCAUGCAUUUUUUUUUCUUGAAAUUAAAUGCUUUAAUUAGUUGGUACAUCAAAACUGAACCAUUCCUGUUAAUUUUUAAAAGAUUGUGUGGUUUAUAGAAGUGUUAUCAUUUUUUAUAAAGGUAUGUAAUUUUAUUGCUAGUUACCAUAAUCAAAAUAAACUAUGAGCUUUUAUGAGUACAAAAUGAAAAUAAAACAUAAAAAUUAAAAUCCCAAGGCAUAUGGAACCAAUUUGGGGAUAUUGGGUACAAAGUAAACCUAUGAACCAAACUUCUCCCUAAGCCCACCUAACUAGACAAGUAAAAAUUCAUGUCCAUGCUCAAUGGAAACUUUUAACUCACUAGCUAUCCUAACAUAUUCGGUCCUCAAUUAAAUUCCUCUUAGCUUAUCUUAAUAAUAAGCCUCCAAGUCAACUCAAAACACAACCCCACCUCCAUUAGAUACGUGUCGAAUCCCUUAAAACCACUCUUAGUUGCUAUUUGAGAAACAAACCAUUAUUCACAUCUUGCAUACCAAUUAAUUGGUGUCCCCAUACAACCUUGCUCGAAUAAAUCAGGAAAAAAAUAUUUGGUCAUAAUACGAACUCUAUCCACACACCAACCUAUUCUCCAUAAAACUCCCACUUGAGUCCAUGUUUAUUUAAAUACAGUGUCAUCCUUGCUAUAUUAAGUUUUCUUUUUUUUUUUAGAAGCAAUGACUUAUGAUUAUAUACCUUAACAAAAGAAGGGGAUAAAUAUAUCCCGGUACAAAAACUCAUGUGCAACCAAUAAAAAAAAGGCUGCAACAGAUCAUCCUGCUUCAACAUCAUUAUAUAUAAACUCUAGACAACCCAUAAUCUUGAAAUCUUAUCACCUAACAGGAAGCAGUAAACCAUAAAAACUAUAAAAACGAAAAGCAGUAGGCAUCAGAGGGACAAAUUACAAAAAAGAGAAUAAAAAGUAACCAUUAGCAUUGAAGAAUAGAAAAAGAACCAGAAAACUUGAAGCAAAAUGAGUUCAAGCUUCUGUGUGAUUAACUUAGAAAAGAUCACAAGUUCUGAGAACCCUUUUUUUGCAAGUGAAUCAGAUUCUUCCUUGGCUUAACGGGAAAUAUGCUUAAUGGUCCACCUAUUGAUUUUGCAGAGGAUAGCAAAAGUUUGCAUGGUGAUUUUUCACACCCUCUAGGGAACCUUCUGAGGAUUGGAAAUCCAUUUAACGACAUUAUAGUUAUCACAUUCGAGGAUAAGGGAGUGAGAAACCCACUUGGACACUACAAAGAUGGUCACAGCUUCUUUGACAGCAAGCAACUCAACUAUGUUAGAGUCGAAGACUCUAAUAAACUUGGAGAAGAGAAUGAAAAUGUCUCCACAUUCAUUUCUUAGAAUCCCUCUAUGCUUGAAUCUAUCGGGCAGCCUCUAGAUGCCUUGUCAAUAUUGAACUUCGAGGUCCUUCGAGCUGACCUAAGCCACAUUUUUUUCUUCUUAGAUGCUAGAGAUUUUUAAGGGAUAGGCCUUUUGUUUGGCUGCCUAGUAGGAUCAACAAUUGUGACAUUAAUCUCUAGCCACUUUGCUUUUAUCCAGCAAGCUACUUUAAUUUUUG